Ictalurus furcatus (blue catfish) is the source of this 946-nucleotide long non-coding RNA. RefSeq lists it as uncharacterized. The transcript has 3 exons. The record is from RefSeq and is a predicted model, not a curated record. NCBI's taxonomy places the organism in Eukaryota, Metazoa, Chordata, Actinopteri, Siluriformes, Ictaluridae.
CCGAUAACUUUUUAAAAUAUUAGGCUUUCUACUAAAACGUGUAGGCCUAUUGUAGCCUUAAUGUGUAAUAUUGUGUAAAUAUUGUAAAUGUGCAAUAUUUAGCAUGUGUACAAUGAUAGGCCUAUAUUGGGCAUUUAUCAUUCACACAUUUUAUUAAAAUUGUCAUUAGAUUCAGUUGACAUUAUAGGCCUUUUGAGUUGCUGAGAUUUGGAAUAAACCCACUUAAGUUCAUUUGUCCAGCAAAAGAAUUUAAUAAUAAAUAUAACAUUAAUAACAGUGGGGUGUGAGUAAUAAAAUAAAUUUUAAAAAAUCAAGGUCCCCUUGUCUACAGUAUGCCUCAUACUGUAGGCCCAUGCCGGUCCCAAAAACCCCUUUGAAAACCAUGGUUCUAGACCAUUGCACCAGCAUAACGGAUGACCCCUCUAACUCAUCCCAUGGACUCUUCAUGCCUCCUGCCAUCUGGCAGAAGGUACAGGAGCAUCCAUGCCAUCACCAGCAGACUCUGCAAUAGUUUCUUCCCUGAGACAAUCAGAUUACUCAACAUCCUGCUGCCUCUCAACACUUAUCUGGGCUAGUCAAACACCUAACCGAGUCUUGAGAUUAUGGUCCUGGAGAAACAGCAUUUCAUUCCAAUACACUAGAGGUGUUCCUAUGUCGCUAGGGUGGUGCAUUCUGUUUUUGUGAUGGAGAUAUGAGGUAUAAUCAUAAAAAAGUUUCAGUCUUUUAAUAUUGUCUAAAAGUUUUGCGUAAGUCCUCUCUAAACUAUAGAGUUUUUUUCCUUAUUGGGAUUCAUUUGAUCAGUGUUUAUAAGGGUUUUUCACAUGUCCUUCAAGUUACUGUCCACCCUGUUAUAUCUGUCUACACUACAUGAAAAAUGUCAAAUUUGGAAGGAUAUGGAAAUAAACUCCCACUUAACUUUAAGUUUGUCAGAUGUAUGAGGAUAAAA